RNAcentral lists this ribosomal RNA (431 nucleotides) under Salmonella enterica. RNAcentral describes it as "bacterial SSU rRNA". It matches the Rfam family "Bacterial small subunit ribosomal RNA", at positions 1112 to 1533 of the family's 1533-position model. The record is from RNAcentral. Lineage: Bacteria; Pseudomonadati; Pseudomonadota; Gammaproteobacteria; Enterobacterales; Enterobacteriaceae. RNAcentral also lists the same sequence under 2 other names.
UUGUUGCCAGCGGUCCGGCCGGGAACUCAAAGGAGACUGCCAGUGAUAAACUGGAGGAAGGUGGGGAUGACGUCAAGUCAUCAUGGCCCUUACGACCAGGGCUACACACGUGCUACAAUGGCGCAUACAAAGAGAAGCGACCUCGCGAGAGCAAGCGGACCUCAUAAAGUGCGUCGUAGUCCGGAUUGGAGUCUGCAACUCGACUCCAUGAAGUCGGAAUCGCUAGUAAUCGUGGAUCAGAAUGCCACGGUGAAUACGUUCCCGGGCCUUGUACACACCGCCCGUCACACCAUGGGAGUGGGUUGCAAAAGAAGUAGGUAGCUUAACCUUCGGGAGGGCGCUUACCACUUUGUGAUUCAUGACUGGGGUGAAGUCGUAACAAGGUAACCGUAGGGGAACCUGCGGUUGGAUCACCUCCUUACCUGAAAGAA